AAUGUGCCGAGAGGUGAAAGCUUUAGUGCCUGUAGAUGAGCUCGCGUCCGAUUAGCUAGUUGGUAGGGUAAAGGCUUACCAAUGACGACGAUCAGGUAGCUGGUCUGAGAGGAUGAUCAGCCACACUGGGACUGAGACACGGCCCAGACUCCUACGGGAGGCAGCAGUGGGGAAUUUUCCGCAAAUGGGCGAAAGCCUGACGGAGCAAUACCGCGUGCGGGACGAAGGCUUUUGGGUCGUAAAC
This 244-nucleotide ribosomal RNA is filed under the name uncultured cyanobacterium. RNAcentral's name for it is "partial 16S ribosomal RNA". It matches the Rfam family "Bacterial small subunit ribosomal RNA", at positions 187 to 430 of the family's 1533-position model. The record is from RNAcentral. Lineage: Bacteria; Bacillati; Cyanobacteriota.